Molecule: ribosomal RNA, 626 nt
Filed under: uncultured bacterium
Lineage: Bacteria
Description: bacterial SSU rRNA
Rfam family: Bacterial small subunit ribosomal RNA (bases 1-539)
Source: RNAcentral
CCUACGGGAGGCAGCAGUGGGGAAUUUUGGACAAUGGACGCAAGUCUGAUCCAGCAAUGCCGCGUGCAGGAUGAAGGCCUUCGGGUUGUAAACUGCUUUUGUACGGAACGAAAAGGUCUGCCCUAAUACGGUGGGCCCAUGACGGUACCGUAAGAAUAAGCACCGGCUAACUACGUGCCAGCAGCCGCGGUAAUACGUAGGGUGCAAGCGUUAAUCGGAAUUACUGGGCGUAAAGCGUGCGCAGGCGGUUAUAUAAGACAGAUGCGAAAUCCCCGGGCUCGACCUGGGACCUGCAUUUGUGACUGUAUAGCUAGAGUACGGUAGAGGGGGAUGGAAUUCCGCGUGUAGCAGUGAAAUGCGUAGAUAUGCGGAGGAACACCGAUGGCGAAGGUAAUCCCCUGGACCUGUACUGACGCUCAUGCACGAAAGCGUGGGGAGCAAACAGGAUUAGAUACCCUGGUAGUCCACGCCCUAAACCGAUGUCAACUGGUUGUUGGAUCUUUACUGAUNAUAACGAAGCUACGCGUGAGUAGACCGCCGNGGGAGGUACGGCCGGCGAGUUAGAACGUACAAGUUAGAAGUUAGACGGCGUGAGACGNGCCGACGGACGACGACGAGGGAGGAGG